CGUGUAUGUUGUACCAGGUGGCGCUAGUCGGACGAUCAGUGAAUCGUUGAACGAAGCGCAGAAGCGGGUAUUAUUUCUGAUAGUUGUUCCUCGUUCAAUGCUGACGAUGACCGAUUUCGUCGGUAACGUGGUACGAUGUUACAUAAACAUCAAACGGCGGUGCUUACGUAAUUGGAGGUUUAAGGCACCGGGAGAGGUGCGCAUAACGCAACGAAUAAACCGUUCGUCGUAAGCGAAAUAUUUACACGCUCAUGUAACCAACCUCUUACGCGCGCGAAUGGCUGUACCGACCCUCUCCUAUAUGUAUAAUGCGACGCUACAAGAGGAAGAUUUACUCCUUCGCUGUAACAUCGUGCGUGGCACCGUCGUCGACUCGCUUUGAUGCACGUGGAUAAUCAAUUCCGUUGUUCGAGGAACACUGCUAACAAAGGACGUGCUACCACCACAAUGAUAGCGCCACUUUCAUGGCCGAGCUCGGGUCAAGGACCGACACGUUCUUGCCAAACGACUGGUUGCGUUAAGGAUUCUGCAAUGCGGGGGAAUUAACGCAACGACUGGCGACGUCGACAAACGCAAUUUCCCGUCGCUGGCGGUUGAACAGCACCGUGACAUAUCAUAUCAGUAGAACAACGUGAAGCCGUAUCCUUGGACGAAUUGGCUAAAUAGACUGUUUAUAGAGUAGACAUAGUGUUUUGAAUGUUCUGCGCGUUGCUAAGAUAAGCAGAACAAAAUCGAUUUUGUCAAAGAACGAUAAAUUUUGAUUGAGGUUUCGUGAAAUUAAUCUGACAGUAUGACAUUGGCACGAAGGAAGUUCAUAAUCGACUUCAAGGGAAUUGCUUUGAAUUUACCGCAUUAAUUUUCUCUUUUCUCAUGCUUCAUGCUAAUUCGAAGCUUUUUUUGUCGCAUAUGCGAUAGUUUGAUUAGAGAAGUUGUGUAAAGGAAAUUAGAUUUUUGCCGAUGAUAAUGGUUAAAAGUUUCGUAACUUGACUGAAAUUUUUCUUACGUAUCGUAGUUAUUUGCUUACAUCAGAUUACGAUACCGUGUUCGUUCUACGCGAUUCCAAUAAACUCCACAUUUUAAAUAAAUUUUACAAAUUUAAUAAAUGUUAGAUUUUUAAUUUACUUCGACGCUUGUAUU
Molecule: long non-coding RNA, 1137 nt
Organism: Bombus pascuorum
Lineage: Eukaryota; Metazoa; Arthropoda; Insecta; Hymenoptera; Apidae
Exons: 3
Source: RefSeq, a predicted model, not a curated record